Molecule: ribosomal RNA, 204 nt
Filed under: uncultured bacterium
Lineage: Bacteria
Description: partial 16S ribosomal RNA
Rfam family: Bacterial small subunit ribosomal RNA
Source: RNAcentral
UACGGGAGGCAGCAGUGAGGAAUAUUGGUCAAUGGGCGAGAGCCUGAACCAGCCAAGUAGCGUGCAGGAUGACGGCCCUAUGGGUUGUAAACUGCUUUUAUGCGGGGACAAACUGCGCCACGUGUGGCGCAUUGCAGGUACCGCAUGAAUAAGGACCGGCUAAUUCCGUGCCAGCAGCCGCGGUAAUACGGAAGGUCCNGGCGU